GCUGGGCGUGGUGGCGUGCGCCUGUAGUCCCAGCUACCAGGAGGCUGAGGUGGGAGAAUGGCGUGAACCCGGGAGGUGGAGCUUGCAGUGAGCCGAGAUUGUACCACUGUACUCCAGCCUGGGUGACAGAGCGAGACCCCAUCUCGU
This 147-nucleotide non-coding RNA is filed under the name Pan troglodytes (chimpanzee). Lineage: Eukaryota; Metazoa; Chordata; Mammalia; Primates; Hominidae. The record is from Rfam by way of RNAcentral.